CCUACGGGAGGCAGCAGUGAGGAAUAUUGGUCAAUGGACGAGAGUCUGAACCAGCCAAGUAGCGUGAAGGAUGACUGCCCUAUGGGUUGUAAACUUCUUUUAUAUGGGAAUAAAAUGUUCCACGUGUGGGAUUUUGUAUGUACCAUAUGAAUAAGGAACGGCUAACUCCGUGCCAGCAGCCGCGGUAAUACGGAGGAUCCGAGCGUUAUCCGGAUUUAUUGGGUUUAAAGGGAGAGUAGGUGGAUUGUUAAGUCAGUUGUGAAAGUUUGCGGCUCAACCGUAAAAUUGCAGUUGAAACUGGCAGUCUUGAGUACAGUAGAGGUGGGCGGAAUUCGUGGUGUAGCGGUGAAAUGCUUAGAUAUCACGAAGAACCCCGAUUGCGAAGGCAGUUCACUGGACUGCAACUGACACUGAGGCUCGAAAGUGUGGGUAUCAAACAGGAUUAGAUACCCCAGUAGUC
RNAcentral lists this ribosomal RNA (460 nucleotides) under uncultured bacterium. Its description in RNAcentral is "partial 16S ribosomal RNA". It matches the Rfam family "Bacterial small subunit ribosomal RNA", at positions 338 to 795 of the family's 1533-position model. The record is from RNAcentral.